Long non-coding RNA from Triticum aestivum (bread wheat), 1568 nucleotides. RefSeq lists it as uncharacterized. Lineage: Eukaryota; Viridiplantae; Streptophyta; Magnoliopsida; Poales; Poaceae. The transcript is spliced from 5 exons. The record is from RefSeq and is a predicted model, not a curated record.
CCUCUCCUAUCCACUCACUGACCACCUCUCGCCCUCUCCCCUCCCCGGCUCCCCCCCGCCACAUCGCCGCGCGCAUCGACGAUCCCGCAACCGCGCGACUCCGCCCGCCGACCACCGAAUCGGUCUCAUGAAUUGGCGGGGCUUGGGGCUACGACAAGCUGUGUGCGGCGCGACUGACGGAGGCGGACGCUGCAAGCUUCCUGACCUGGGCGUGCGUGCUCGAUCCGGUACCAUUUCGGUCGGACCCGUGGCGGUGCUCCUCUCCGGCGAGGUCGCAGGUCGAUCCGAUGCGGGGCGGCUCGAUCUGCAAGCGGAGCAACUCCGAUACGCCACUCCCCUUGCUUGAUGCGCCCCCUCUCCUCUUCUUCUUCCACAUGUUCCUUCCCUGAUGUGGUUUCCUCUUCCCUGGUGUGCUGCGGCGCCGUGACCCGGUCUCACAGGCACGGCCAGGGCGACGACUGCUCCCCGACGCCGCCACCCUCCGCAAGGAGCGACGACAGCUCGAAGCUCUGCGGCACGGCGUGCGCCGAGCGACGUGCAGCGAGGGCGCCGCUGCCUCAGCCAUCGGCGUGUCCGACCACUCGUCCACGUCCCCACUGCUGCCGCCGGCCGGCCACUCGACGUCGCUUGUCCCGCUGCUUUAGCAGGCCAAGAAACCGGAACGCCCCCCGCGCCUGGCGACCUCGGCAUCUCCAUCGACCGUCUCAGAAAGCGCUACCUCGCCCGGCUCCCGCAUAGCUGAUGCAAGCCAAGAAACAGGGAGUGCCGGCAGUAGUACUCUGAAUCCAUCAAUGCAGUUGAAUCCAUAAUGCUAAUCAAGAGGUGGUUUUGGCCUAACUGGGAUGUGCUUGAGUCCCGCAUAGCUGUGGAGGAGGAAGCUGCUGCCCUUCUUGAGUAGUUUGCAAAGAUCUUCAGUGAGCAAAGAGGGCAGUGGAAGGCAGCAACCCAAUCCCAGGAGUUCCUUUGAACCCUUCAGCAUUAAUACAAUAAUGCUUACACAGAUCCUGAGAAGCAGGAUGCUAUAAAUGUAUUCUUGGGCCAUUUCCAGUCUGAACAAGGCAAACCUCCUAUUGUGGAAGUUGGACUGAGAUCAGCAUUACGAUGUUGGCCGCCAAGGAACUCUAUGUGAAGAAACUGGAAGGUCCAUAUAAUUAUGAUGUCUUGGAGGGUAUGACGUUCGGCAAUAUUUCUGAAUCCUUCAAUGCUGACUUUGAGGAUGGUACAAUCGGGGAGGUAAUUAUUUUUCCUUUUGUCAUGUGAAGCCCAACACUAUGCUAUUAACCAGGUAUGGAUCUUUGAGAGUAUCCUUCUGGGUGAAUAUGGAGAAGUAAUGAAUAUCCAAGUACUUGCUGUGGCUGAAAGGGUAGACCUGCUCUAACCAAAGGACCUUUAGAUGCUUGGCCCAGUUCGCCCAUUGUUUUUGACUACAACCAUUGCACUUACUGUUGUGGACCGGUUCGGUAAUUAACCAAAGGAUGAUUGUAAUAGUUGGCUCUGCCUGUCAUGUAUAGAGUAACCGAAAGUUGUAUAUGUUCCUCCCAAGUUAUCAUGUAUUACAUUUGUGGACA